GACGAACGCUGGCGGCGUGCCUAAUACAUGCAAGUUGAGCGCUGAAGGUUGGUACUUGUACCGACUGGAUGAGCAGCGAACGGGUGAGUAACGCGUGGGGAAUCUGCCUUUGAGCGGGGGACAACAUUUGGAAACGAAUGCUAAUACCGCAUAAAAACUUUAAACACAAGUUUUAAGUUUGAAAGAUGCAAUUGCAUCACUCAAAGAUGGUCCCGCGUUGUAUUAGCUAGUUGGUGAGGUAAAGGCUCACCAAGGCGAUGAUACAUAGCCGACCUGAGAGGGUGAUCGGCCACAUUGGGACUGAGACACGGCCCAAACUCCUACGGGAGGCAGCAGUAGGGAAUCUUCGGCAAUGGACGAAAGUCUGACCGAGCAACGCCGCGUGAGUGAAGAAGGUUGUCGGAUCGUAAAACUCUGUUGGUAGAGAAGAACGUUGGUGAGAGUGGAAAGCUCAUCAAGUGACGGUAACUACCCAGAAAGGGACGGCUAACUACGUG
RNAcentral lists this ribosomal RNA (497 nucleotides) under uncultured bacterium. RNAcentral's name for it is "partial 16S ribosomal RNA". It matches the Rfam family "Bacterial small subunit ribosomal RNA", at positions 28 to 507 of the family's 1533-position model. The record is from RNAcentral.